Molecule: ribosomal RNA, 520 nt
Filed under: uncultured bacterium
Lineage: Bacteria
Description: partial 16S ribosomal RNA
Rfam family: Bacterial small subunit ribosomal RNA
Source: RNAcentral
UGGGGAAUUUUGGACAAUGGGGGCAACCCUGAUCCAGCAAUGCCGCGUGUGUGAAGAAGGCCUUCGGGUUGUAAAGCACUUUUGUCCGGAAAGAAAACGUCGUGGUUAAUACCCGUGGCGGCUGACGGUACCGGAAGAAUAAGCACCGGCUAACUACGUGCCAGCAGCCGCGGUAAUACGUAGGGUGCAAGCGUUAAUCGGAAUUACUGGGCGUAAAGCGUGCGCAGGCGGUCCGCUAAGACAGAUGUGAAAUCCCCGGGCUUAACCUGGGAACUGCAUUUGUGACUGGCGGGCUAGAGUAUGGCAGAGGGGGGUAGAAUUCCACGUGUAGCAGUGAAAUGCGUAGAGAUGUGGAGGAAUACCGAUGGCGAAGGCAGCCCCCUGGGCCAAUACUGACGCUCAUGCACGAAAGCGUGGGGAGCAAACAGGAUUAGAUACCCUGGUAGUCCACGCCCUAAACGAUGUCAACUAGUUGUCGGGUCUUCAUUGACUUGGUAACGUAGCUAACGCGUGAAGUUGA